Molecule: ribosomal RNA, 546 nt
Filed under: Alcaligenes faecalis
Lineage: Bacteria; Pseudomonadati; Pseudomonadota; Betaproteobacteria; Burkholderiales; Alcaligenaceae
Description: bacterial SSU rRNA
Rfam family: Bacterial small subunit ribosomal RNA
Source: RNAcentral
GAUGCUUUACACAUGCAAGUCGAACGGCAGCGCGAGAGAGCUUGCUCUCUUGGCGGCGAGUGGCGGACGGGUGAGUAAUAUAUCGGAACGUGCCCAGUAGCGGGGGAUAACUACUCGAAAGAGUGGCUAAUACCGCAUACGCCCUACGGGGGAAAGGGGGGGAUCGCAAGACCUCUCACUAUUGGAGCGGCCGAUAUCGGAUUAGCUAGUUGGUGGGGUAAAGGCUCACCAAGGCAACGAUCCGUAGCUGGUUUGAGAGGACGACCAGCCACACUGGGACUGAGACACGGCCCAGACUCCUACGGGAGGCAGCAGUGGGGAAUUUUGGACAAUGGGGGAAACCCUGAUCCAGCCAUCCCGCGUGUAUGAUGAAGGCCUUCGGGUUGUAAAGUACUUUUGGCAGAGAAGAAAAGGUAUCCCCUAAUACGGGAUACUGCUGACGGUAUCUGCAGAAUAAGCACCGGCUAACUACGUGCCAGCAGCCGCGGUAAUACGUAGGGUGCAAGCGUUAAUCGGAAUUACUGGGCGUAAAGCGUGUGUAGGCGG